CAGUAGCCACGGUAAUACGAAGGGGGCUAGCGUUGCUCGGAAUCACUGGGCGUAAAGGGUGCGUAGGCGGGUCUUUAAGUCAGGGGUGAAAUCCUGGAGCUCAACUCCAGAACUGCCUUUGAUACUGAAGACCUUGAGUUCGGGAGAGGUGAGUGGAACUGCGAGUGUAGAGGUGAAAUUCGUAGAUAUUCGCAAGAACACCAGUGGCGAAGGCGGCUCACUGGCCCGAUACUGACGCUGAGGCACGAAAGCGUGGGGAGCAAACAGGAUUAGAUACCCCGGUAGUCCCUGUCUCUUAUAC
RNAcentral lists this ribosomal RNA (301 nucleotides) under uncultured bacterium. RNAcentral's name for it is "partial 16S ribosomal RNA". It matches the Rfam family "Bacterial small subunit ribosomal RNA", at positions 509 to 807 of the family's 1533-position model. The record is from RNAcentral.